This 311-nucleotide unclassified non-coding RNA is filed under the name Hevea brasiliensis (rubber tree). Lineage: Eukaryota; Viridiplantae; Streptophyta; Magnoliopsida; Malpighiales; Euphorbiaceae. The record is from RNAcentral.
AGCUUUUUUUGGAUUCAAAUGCUCAUAUACGGUAUUGGAUGAUUUGAAGUAUACUGUGCUUCAAGAAGGGGAGAUUGAGUCAUCAUUUUCUGAUAUUCACAUGGAAAUGCUUUAGAUAUUUUGGUGGUUUCUGUGAUACCGAGUGGCAUACUGACUGGAGAUCACAAAAGGAACUUCCAAAAUCAUAUUCACAAACUAUGGAGUGUAAUAAAGAUGAAGCCUUCAGAGCAAAAAAAAUUGCAGAGCGGAAGUUUGAACAGAAGGAUUAUGCUGGUGCAAAGAAAUUUGCCUUGAAAGCUCAGGUUUUGUAU